This 2932-nucleotide ribosomal RNA is filed under the name Klebsiella aerogenes. RNAcentral describes it as "23S ribosomal RNA". It matches the Rfam family "Bacterial large subunit ribosomal RNA". The record is from RNAcentral. Lineage: Bacteria; Pseudomonadati; Pseudomonadota; Gammaproteobacteria; Enterobacterales; Enterobacteriaceae.
GGGUUGUGAGGUUAAGCGACUAAGCGUACACGGUGGAUGCCCUGGCAGUCAGAGGCGAUGAAGGACGUGCUAAUCUGCGAAAAGCGUCGGUAAGGUGAUAUGAACCGUUACAGCCGGCGAUGUCCGAAUGGGGAAACCCAGUGUGAUUCGUCACACUAUCGUUAACUGAAUACAUAGGUUAACGAGGCGAACCGGGGGAACUGAAACAUCUAAGUACCCCGAGGAAAAGAAAUCAACCGAGAUUCCCCCAGUAGCGGCGAGCGAACGGGGAGCAGCCCAGAGUCUGAAUCAGCUUGUGUGUUAGUGGAACGGUCUGGAAAGUCCGACGGUACAGGGUGAUAGUCCCGUACACCAAAAUGCACAGGUUGUGAACUCGAAGAGUAGGGCGGGACACGUGGUAUCCUGUCUGAAUAUGGGGGGACCAUCCUCAAAGGCUAAAUACUCCUGACUGACCGAUAGUGAACCAGUACCGUGAGGGAAAGGCGAAAAGAACCCCGGCGAGGGGAGUGAAAAAGAACCUGAAACCGUGUACGUACAAGCAGUGGGAGCACCUUCGGGUGUGACUGCGUACCUUUUGUAUAAUGGGUCAGCGACUUAUAUUCUGUAGCAAGGUUAACCGUAUAGGGGAGCCGCAGGGAAACCGAGUCUUAACUGGGCGUUAAGUUGCAGGGUAUAGACCCGAAACCCGGUGAUCUAGCCAUGGGCAGGUUGAAGGUUGGGUAACACUAACUGGAGGACCGAACCGACUAAUGUUGAAAAAUUAGCGGAUGACUUGUGGCUGGGGGUGAAAGGCCAAUCAAACCGGGAGAUAGCUGGUUCUCCCCGAAAGCUAUUUAGGUAGCGCCUCGUGAACUCAUCUUCGGGGGUAGAGCACUGUUUCGGCUAGGGGGUCAUCCCGACUUACCAACCCGAUGCAAACUACGAAUACCGAAGAAUGUUAUCACGGGAGACACACGGCGGGUGCUAACGUCCGUCGUGAAGAGGGAAACAACCCAGACCGCCAGCUAAGGUCCCAAAGUCACAGUUAAGUGGGAAACGAUGUGGGAAGGCACAGACAGCCAGGAUGUUGGCUUAGAAGCAGCCAUCAUUUAAAGAAAGCGUAAUAGCUCACUGGUCGAGUCGGCCUGCGCGGAAGAUGUAACGGGGCUAAACUGUGCACCGAAGCUGCGGCAGCGACACUAUGUGUUGUUGGGUAGGGGAGCGUUCUGUAAGCCUGCGAAGGUGGCCUGUGAGGGUUGCUGGAGGUAUCAGAAGUGCGAAUGCUGACAUAAGUAACGAUAAUGCGGGUGAAAAGCCCGCACGCCGGAAGACCAAGGGUUCCUGUCCAACGUUAAUCGGGGCAGGGUGAGUCGACCCCUAAGGCGAGGCCGAAAGGCGUAGUCGAUGGGAAACAGGUUAAUAUUCCUGUACUUGGUGUUACUGCGAAGGGGGGACGGAGAAGGCUAUGUUAGCCGGGCGACGGUUGUCCCGGUUUAAGCAUGUAGGCGGAGGUUCCAGGUAAAUCCGGUACCUUUUUAACGCUGAGGUGUGAUGACGAGGCACUACGGUGCUGAAGUAACAAAUGCCCUGCUUCCAGGAAAAGCCUCUAAGCAUCAGGUAACAUUGAAUCGUACCCCAAACCGACACAGGUGGUCAGGUAGAGAAUACCAAGGCGCUUGAGAGAACUCGGGUGAAGGAACUAGGCAAAAUGGUGCCGUAACUUCGGGAGAAGGCACGCUGAUAUGUAGGUGAAGCCCCUGCGGGUGGAGCUGAAAUCAGUCGAAGAUACCAGCUGGCUGCAACUGUUUAUUAAAAACACAGCACUGUGCAAACACGAAAGUGGACGUAUACGGUGUGACGCCUGCCCGGUGCCGGAAGGUUAAUUGAUGGGGUUAUCCGUAAGGAGAAGCUCUUGAUCGAAGCCCCGGUAAACGGCGGCCGUAACUAUAACGGUCCUAAGGUAGCGAAAUUCCUUGUCGGGUAAGUUCCGACCUGCACGAAUGGCGUAAUGAUGGCCAGGCUGUCUCCACCCGAGACUCAGUGAAAUUGAACUCGCUGUGAAGAUGCAGUGUACCCGCGGCAAGACGGAAAGACCCCGUGAACCUUUACUAUAGCUUGACACUGAACAUUGAGCCUUGAUGUGUAGGAUAGGUGGGAGGCUUUGAAGCGUGGACGCCAGUCUGCGUGGAGCCAACCUUGAAAUACCACCCUUUAAUGUUUGAUGUUCUAACGUUGGCCCCUGACCGGGGUUGCGGACAGUGUCUGGUGGGUAGUUUGACUGGGGCGGUCUCCUCCCAAAGAGUAACGGAGGAGCACGAAGGUUAGCUAAUCCUGGUCGGACAUCAGGAGGUUAGUGCAAUGGCAUAAGCUAGCUUGACUGCGAGCGUGACGGCGCGAGCAGGUGCGAAAGCAGGUCAUAGUGAUCCGGUGGUUCUGAAUGGAAGGGCCAUCGCUCAACGGAUAAAAGGUACUCCGGGGAUAACAGGCUGAUACCGCCCAAGAGUUCAUAUCGACGGCGGUGUUUGGCACCUCGAUGUCGGCUCAUCACAUCCUGGGGCUGAAGUAGGUCCCAAGGGUAUGGCUGUUCGCCAUUUAAAGUGGUACGCGAGCUGGGUUUAGAACGUCGUGAGACAGUUCGGUCCCUAUCUGCCGUGGGCGCUGGAGAAUUGAGGGGGGCUGCUCCUAGUACGAGAGGACCGGAGUGGACGCAUCACUGGUGUUCGGGUUGUCAUGCCAAUGGCAUUGCCCGGUAGCUAAAUGCGGAAGAGAUAAGUGCUGAAAGCAUCUAAGCACGAAACUUGCCCCGAGAUGAGUUCUCCCUGAGACUUUAAGUCUCCUGAAGGAACGUUAAAGACGAUGACGUUGAUAGGUCGGGUGUGUAAGCGUAGCGAUACGUUGAGCUAACCGAUACUAAUGAACCGUGAGGCUUAACCUUACAACGCCGAAGGUGUUU